GCGAAUGAAUCCUGAAGGAUGUUGCUGGCUCCUUGGGGCAGGUGCACUCCUCAGAUAUUCUCUUGUCCUCACCUUUUACAAACCCUGUGCACCCUCUGUAGGUUUGGCACGUUCCGACCUAUGUAAUGAAAUUUAUUGUCGUGCGCAAGCACUAAUGUA
Molecule: unclassified non-coding RNA, 159 nt
Filed under: uncultured Hygrophoraceae
Lineage: Eukaryota; Fungi; Basidiomycota; Agaricomycetes; Agaricales; Hygrophoraceae
Description: sequence contains ITS1
Source: RNAcentral